UACGUAGGUGGCAAGCGUUGUCCGGAAUUAUUGAGCGUAAAGGGCGCGCAGGCGGUCUCUUAAGUCUGAUGUGAAAGCCCACGGCUUAACCGUGGAGGGUCAUUGGAAACUGGGGGACUUGAGUACAGAAGAGAAGAGUGGAAUUCCAUGUGUAGCGGUGAAAUGCGUAGAGAUAUGGAGGAACACCAGUGGCGAAGGCGACUCUUUGGUCUGUAACUGACGCUGAGGCGCGAAAGCGUGGGGAGCGAACAGGAUUAGAUACCCGGGUA
RNAcentral lists this ribosomal RNA (269 nucleotides) under uncultured prokaryote. RNAcentral describes it as "partial 16S ribosomal RNA". It matches the Rfam family "Bacterial small subunit ribosomal RNA", at positions 524 to 792 of the family's 1533-position model. The record is from RNAcentral.